CAUCUCGUGAAUAUUUGGAAUACGUCAAAAGUGGAAUGGAGUGAAUCGGUUGAAUUAUGUGGAAGUAGUAGAAGGACAGAAAAGUGAGGAGAAUAAAAUAGAAGAAGAAGAAGAAGUGAAUGGUGUAAAAUAACAUAAGUGAAGGCCUAUUAUUAAAUAUUAUGAAUAUUAAAAGAAAUUUAGCAGUUGAACCAUUUUGGGAAAAUGAUGAAUGAUUUGAACAUGAAUUGAAUUGAACAUGAGAUAUAGAUAACUGAAAGAUACACUGAAUUUGAAUUGGGUUCAAGCACUCCCUCUCGCAUUGAUGUGUGUGCAUAUGUCUGUUAAUGCCCGAACUGGGCACACCCCUUUUGAAUUGCAGAAACGUCGCUGUUUUCCUGGACCAAUUUCGGCCCUUCCAGUUGCUGAUCCAGAUGGUGGUUAGCGCACACACACACAUCUUAGACCAAUUGUCCAGUUUUAUGAUUCCAGGUUUGCUGAGCACACUGCAGCGGACCCAAAUGGGGCCGCCGAGAUUCAAAUCACCCCAACUAUCUGGCUGAAAGUCCUGAAGAGAAAGUGGACAGCGCCUCGGUGGACUGGACCCUUUGCAGUGGUGGAGCGCACAUCGCAUGCCGUCCGGCUGGCCGGCAAAGGAGACACGUGGUAUCAUCUAUCCCAGUGUGCUCCUGUGAAGGAUUCUUGCAUAGAUCCGGAUCCGCCAUUGACAGCGUCCCCACUCCCGAUUGAAAAAGAGGCAGAAUAAUCCUCUUCCACUUGGUGGCCAGGUAGUCUACCCUGAGCCACUAAAGACCAAGACUGCACAGCAGACGUUUUCAGGUUCCUUCCGGACGGAGCAGAGCUGCAAAGGGGGGUGAAGCUCGUCUUGAG
Molecule: long non-coding RNA, 870 nt
Organism: Syngnathus acus (greater pipefish)
Lineage: Eukaryota; Metazoa; Chordata; Actinopteri; Syngnathiformes; Syngnathidae
Exons: 3
Source: RefSeq, a predicted model, not a curated record